GACGAACGCUGACGGCGUGCUUAACACAUGCGAGUCGAACGGAAAGGCCCUGCUUUUGUGGGGUGCUCGAGUGGCGAACGGGUGAGUAACACGUGAGUAACCUGCCCUUGACUUUGGGAUAACUUCAGGAAACUGGGGCUAAUACCGGAUAGGAGCUCCUGCUGCAUGGUGGGGGUUGGAAAGUUUCGGCGGUUGGGGAUGGACUCGCGGCUUAUCAGCUUGUUGGUGGGGUAGUGGCUUACCAAGGCUUUGACGGGUAGCCGGCCUGAGAGGGUGACCGGCCACAUUGGGACUGAGAUACGGCCCAGACUCCUACGGGAGGCAGCAGUGGGGAAUAUUGCACAAUGGGCGGAAGCCUGAUGCAGCAACGCCGCGUGCGGGAUGACGGCCUUCGGGUUGUAAACCGCUUUCGCCUGUGACGAAGCGUGAGUGACGGUAAUGGGUAAAGAAGCACCGGCUAACUACGUG
RNAcentral lists this ribosomal RNA (468 nucleotides) under uncultured bacterium. RNAcentral's name for it is "partial 16S ribosomal RNA". It matches the Rfam family "Bacterial small subunit ribosomal RNA", at positions 28 to 507 of the family's 1533-position model. The record is from RNAcentral.